RNAcentral lists this ribosomal RNA (191 nucleotides) under uncultured Sphingobacteriales bacterium. RNAcentral's name for it is "partial 16S ribosomal RNA". It matches the Rfam family "Bacterial small subunit ribosomal RNA", at positions 1193 to 1382 of the family's 1533-position model. The record is from RNAcentral. Lineage: Bacteria; Pseudomonadati; Bacteroidota; Sphingobacteriia; Sphingobacteriales.
GCACGGCCCUUACGUCCAGGGCUACACACGUGUUACAAUGGUCGGUACAAAGGGCAGCUACACCGCGAGGUGAUGCUAAUCUCUAAAGCCGGUCUCAGGUUCGGAUCGAAGUCUGCAACCCGACUUCGUGAAGUUGGAUUCGCUAGUAAUCGCGCAUCAGCCAUGGCGCGGUGAAUACGUUCCCGGGCCUU